CUUUAUACUGCCCUGGGACUCUGUAGAGAGUCCCUACCAGCAAGAAGGCUCUCACCAGAUGUGGCCCCUCGACCUUGGAUGUAGCCUCCAGAAUUACUCUAGAAGUAAGGAACCAAGCGCCUCACUGGUGGUGUGGAAGAACUGGGAUUCCCCACAGUGCAGUGGAAAUUCCUGGGAGUCUCGAACCACAUAUUUUCCAUCGACUACAUCCAAAGCUCUGCAAAGAACGGAACCACAGUCAUGUCAAUACACUAUGAACAAUGCCAAAAUCUCAAGAAACCCAAAGGCAUAUUUCUCCAUGUAUUAAUAUAUUUCCAGUCAGCCCAAAUAAUGAAUCAUUCUUCAAAACCUACACGGCGUUGUAGAUAAUUUGGCGCUCUCAUAGCACAUUUAUAAAUAAACCUGGAUGACUUCA
Long non-coding RNA from Homo sapiens (human), 415 nucleotides. NCBI's taxonomy places the organism in Eukaryota, Metazoa, Chordata, Mammalia, Primates, Hominidae. The record is from Ensembl.